Betta splendens (Siamese fighting fish) is the source of this 6190-nucleotide long non-coding RNA. RefSeq lists it as uncharacterized. The record is from RefSeq and is a predicted model, not a curated record. The transcript is spliced from 6 exons. NCBI's taxonomy places the organism in Eukaryota, Metazoa, Chordata, Actinopteri, Anabantiformes, Osphronemidae.
GCCAAAAGCACCAGGAAAGCAAUCAGAUACCCCAGCACCGAGUCCGCCGUGGCUGUUUCAUGGAAACUGGCAUAUCUGGAGACAGGGUAUGAAAGGAAAAGCCUCAGAUCUGCUUGGACAGCGUGUUUCUGUGAGAGUCCUCUUGAUGAAGACGGACAGCGCGCUCCAGCUGAGAACGAUGAUCGCCAACUCAAGCAGGUUCCAUUUACUCCUGAAAUAAGCCCAUUUCUGCUGCUUGAUCAGCUUUCCCUGUCAGCGCACAAGAGGUGUGUUAAGCGUGGAAACUCAUUUAACCAUUUAACGACUGUCAGAAAAGUCGAGAGGACGAAUAAAUACCUGAACAAACAUGUAGUAGAUGAUGAAGAGGAAGUAGAUGACUUCAGAUGCCAUGACAAAGAUAGUAAGGCCACCAGCCGUCUGGUAAAGACGCACACUCUGGAGCUCACUGUGAAACUGGAAAGCUCCUGGAAGAAAUCCAAGCUGGUUCUUCUAACAGCUGUGGCUUUGUGGCGCUCUCACACAGAAGCUGAACACACACUACCUACCUAUGGCCGUGGUCUCCAGCAUGAGUGUGACAAUGCAGAAGAGGUUGACGUUGGCGUUGUACACAGUGAACUCCACAAAGACGGCUUGAGUGUACACAUCAAACCACGUGUUGUCGUAAAGGUACUGAAGAGACCUGCAUGAAGCCAGAACAAACCACAAUGUCUCCAUUCUGACUGAGCUCAGGACCACAGAGAGCAGUGGUAGCGAGACUGGUUUUCUGCCUUACGUAGUCUUGUGUGCAGAGAUUCCUCGAUUCUCAGAAAUCCCUGGAAUGCCUACCUUUUGGAAUUGUCUAAAUCUGGUCCCAGAUCCAUCACAAAGCCUCCUCCUCUGUAGAGCUUCACUCUGCCCCACACAGGGUAGGUCCUCAGUCUACGCUGGGACUGGUAUGUCCAGGGGCCGCUCAGGUUCAGCGAGGCGCGUCCGUGCACGGAGCGGUUCCAGCCUGGACCGUAGGAGCCCAUGUCCUCAAAGUCCCACGAGUACGGAGCGUGGCAGUCUCCCACAGAGCGCUGCAUCGAGUCGGCCACGUGGCAGGAGCUGUUCCUCACUCUCACCUGUCGGAGGCGAGCGCUGCCCACCAGCUUUGAGUUUCCAUCCGUGAUGAAGCCUGUGAAAUGAUCAGGUUGCUGAGCAGCGUUGUGUUUGCCCAGCUGAACACAUCCUGAAUACUCAUGCUGUCUGAGGCACCUUUGCUGAAGCUCUGCUGAAUGUGUUGGGUCAGAAAGUAAGCGUUGGGGUCCCUCUGACCAUAGGCCACAAGGAGCAACAUCCACAUAAAGCCCAUAUAGGCUGCACAACAGCAAAGAUCUCAUAUCAGAAUUUGGGUAUAUACAUUUCUCAUUGCUUUGUGCAGUAUCUUAUCACUUAGUUCUCCUACCCAGAAUCUCCCUAAUGAGGGCAAACACCUUCUGCUCCUUAAUCAUGUUGUUCCUCAUCCUCUCAACAUCAGAGGGAGGCGGCGGCUGGUAGAAGCUGCACGUGCUGUCUCUUCUUCCUGCCCACACUGCAGGCUCAUCUGCGGGAGAUGGUGUGUUCCUACUAGCAAGUUGCUUUUUAACAUUGUAAAAAUGCAAGAAGAAGAGGAACGAGACAAAAAAAUCUUGCCUGGGUUCCUGAGCUGGCCCUCGAUCUGUGGCUCGCCGUACUCCUCCUGGUCCACCUUCUUCAGCACGAGAGCAAAGAAAGCAGCAAAUCCAAGAACCUGCGACAGAUUUUCAGAAGGAAUCCUCAAACUACAGUCAACAAACGUUAUUAGUAUUUAUUUCAUUGUAUUGCUUAGUUACAUUUUCUUUAUUGUAAUUAAUUUGGAAACACCAAUUAUCAUUAACAAACUAAUAAUCAUCACCUUUAAAGGUUGUGUAAUGAAGAGACUUUCAAAGAAGGAGACCACCAUGGAGAUGAGCCAACUAAUGGAGCGCUCCUUCCCGUACGUCAGUCCAUACAUCAUGGUGAAGUACGCCGACACGCCGCUGGUUGCCAUCACAAGCGUCCAGCCGACGAACACGAACCACCACGGCAGCCCUCCUCUCCUGUUUGUCUCCCUGUUGACCUUCGGCUCGGGACUCGGGCUGGAGCUGGACCGGUCUCCCUCCAGGCUGGACAACGGGAGGUGGUACUCCAGAAGAGCCCGCAUUCCUUGGACCUGCUGCAUGGCCCGGUUGAAGCUGUCUGGGUUUGGGAAACGAGCGGGGCCCAAUAGGCCCAGCUCCUUCUCAACGUGGAGCAGCUGCCUGUACAGAUUGACGGCUCCUAAACUGAGGAUCAUAGAACAAUCUCUUUUGGAGGCAUCGGUGUAGAAGUCUGCAGGCACUCGGUUCUGCUGUCUGAUGAUGUCCUCCACCACGGACAGCAGAGUGUUGAUGUCCAGCUGCUGCCCAGGCUGAAGCUCCAGCUGUGGCAGGGGACUCUUCAUGGCCUUCAUGAGCGACUGAGCAAUUCUCCUGAUGUCCUAAAGUUAAAAACACAGAAUGUUCUUCAGACGCAGAAAAUGGAGCGGCACUUAUUUUUAGACUUAUGUGACUUCACCUUGAUCACAGUGUCUGAUGUGACGUCCUUCAGCUCUUUCUGCGGAGAAGACGUCUGUGAGGGAGCAACCCGCACCGUCUUCCCCUGUUUCUUCGCGUCUGUUCUGAUGGGUUUCUCUCGAGGACGAGUGUUUCGGAAGAUGCUCACAAUGAGGAGAUUGAUGGGAAACAUAAUGAUUGAACUUUGGAGGCCGAUCAUGACCUGUUGCCAGGUGAACUCGAUGUGACCUGAGGUCCAUGGUCUGCUCAGAGGGGUCUGUUGGGAUGCCCCAAAACAUGAUGCUGGUGAGCAUGGUGCACAAGAGGAGAGACAAACAGCAGGACACCCGCUGCACUCGAGUAAAAGUGCUGGAGGGAGGUCGGCUGAUGACUGAGAACCAGAUGUGGCCGUCACGGAAAUCCUUGGCCGUCUUCAUGAAGAACAGGUUACUGAAAAUGGAUUAGACAAAACAACAGAUUGAGAAAGAUGUAGAAAUAAGGCUGUACUGGUAAAAUGUCUUCAUCAGAUCUAUUGCAGCUCUCACCUAAACCUCUUCAGAUCUGUUUCUGUAGCUACCAUGAAAACCUUAUCGAGAGCGCAGUCCCCCACGUCUACGGCCAGCCAGGAGUUACACAGGAAGUGGCAUUUCUGACCACGCUCCAGAUCCUGCACCAUCACCUUGUUGACAUACCUGCACACAACAUCCGUAAUCAAGUACAGCGCGCUGAUAAUGGCACAGGUAACUUACUGUAGGUAACUUACCAGGCAGGGUGUUCUCCUGAGUUAUCAUGCCACAGCCUGAUACUCUGCAGAUCUCCCAGAGAGAAGUGCGUGGUCAGCAGGAACACGUCCACGCCUCCUCUCUCAAACACGGGCUUCUCGGGAUCCGUCAGGUGGUGGGGUUCGCUUUCUCCCUCUGUGCCCGUCAGCGUUAUCGUCACCUGCGACACAAGGGAUCAGUGAAGCUGGGCUGAAUACAUCAUCUGUGAGUCUGUGCUUUAACAGACCUGAGAGGAGGUGGAUGCCCCACGGCGAUGCCCAGUGUGGAGAGUCACUAUAUAACGACACUCUGCCAAUGGGUCGUUGUCCUGGAGUACUGUUACUUUGACCUGCAGCAAUUCAAAAUACAGGUUUCGGGAUUAACUGAGCUGCUAAUAUGGAUAAACUCAUUUUUGCUAAAGUGAAGUCUGUCAGCCUCACAACUAGGUGUGUUACCUUGGCUGAGUCCUGGAUGUCUUUCCUACGCGCCCACACAAGCACCAGGAGGUAAGCGGCGAAGAUCGCCCCGACAAAACACACCACCACAGGGUUGUUGGCGAACGUGGCAAAGAGCUCGGCGGUGCGAGUCACGUCCACCACGUUUGGCAUGACAAAGAAAGAGCUGCCGAAGAACGUCAGGUGGUUGCAGAGACACUGGGUGAGCAAAGGCGUUGUGAGCGGACCCACCUGUGGAAACCAGACAAACAGCAGCUGAGGGAGAGGUUCGACGUAGCGACGAACCGCUGCAGAGCUGGACCUACUGACCCUGCAGCCCUCCUCACUCCACGACGACGCUGACUCAUUCCAGUACUUGCACUGCGCAGCAAUGGAAGUCACAGUGACAGUGGUGUUGAUAGAUUUGAUGCCUGGUUCUACGAUGGGCUUUAUCACCAGGUAGUGGAGGCCGACAUCUACUCUUCGGUCUGUGGGACUCAGCACCCAGGUAUAUUUUUCCUCUGUUUAUGAGCAAAAACAGCCAAACACAGGCUUAGGUCUGUGUAACAAAGCUUCCUGAGUCACAGUAGGUAAGCUAAAGCCUUUAAACAUGAUUCUUAGUUGUGUCAGGUUAAUUUAUUCAUUUUAAUUUUACCUUCUUUGGAAUUCUCCAGAGGAAACUGGGCUUUAGCUACGUAAUUCUUCUCACUUGGAUAAUCUCUGCUUCCCAGGAGCAGCAUGAAGGAAAUGUCUUCAGACGGCGCCGUUUUCAGCACCAGUGUUACAUCCGGUGAUGGAACAUCAAUCAUCAACGUGCUGAAGUUGGCGAGGUCCAGGACGGUGCUGUUCUCACGUCCGACGUCCAGCCGCGGCAGGUUCUCAACGGGAAUCACAGAGCCGUUCACUCUGGUGAGCGAGACGGACCCUACGGCUCCUGUGAUGUUUUCCUCCCUCCAAGAAUACGGAUUCUUCUCAAAGCUCAUCAUCUGAAAAAGUGCAACGUGCAACAUAUUUAGUUGAAAAUGUGCAGCAUCUUCGUGCAUCAACAUUUCUUUACUGUUACUGUAAGUCAAACACUUACCCUCACAUCCACUGGCUCGUCCGGAGAAACAAUGUCUUUGGGGAGUUUGGGGAACAAAAACCUGGACGAGCUGUUCUUCUGAACAUUUAUGUCCUGCAUCUGCCUGCUUCCUGAAGACACUCUGCAAAAAUAGCACUCAACACGUUAUCAUGAUUUCAGCCCGUUUUAUGUUAUGGGCCUCUCAGUGUCUCCCACCUGUUGACGUACACGGUGAUCUGAUCAGAAUCAAUGAUGGCAGGUUCUCCAUUGAGCUGUUUAUUAUUCAGCAAAGCGCUCUGAACGUUGUUGAUCCCAGUUAGAAGAAAACCUGAGACUUUUUUCUGAAAAAAAAAGAAAAGGUUUAGUAAAGUGUUAGUGAGCAAAAACAGCAUUUAGUAAUAUUCAGGAGUCCGAGUCGGUUCUUACAUUGGAUGAAACAUUUAAAAUAUUACUGGCUGCUUCAACUAUUGGUAUUGAAGCUUGCUCAACCUCGCCAUCGUCUUUGCUGUCGUGACUGACGCUGAGGGAGUUGAGGGAGAAGCUGAGGUCCACCAACAAUGAACCUGCCUCCUCCUGAGCAGGAAACACAACAAUCAGGCAUUUAUGCAUUGUACAGCUAUUUAAAACACUUUGUAGGAUAUGUGCAGUGUACCUGAGCAGCGGAACUGAGCUCAUCCGAGCGCUGAGUGAGUCCAGCCACAGCCCUGGCUGCCACUUCCACUUCCUGCGUGGUGUUCGUGGGGGCGUCCAGCAGCACCGUGCUCAUUUCAGUCAGCAUUUGCUCUCUGAGCUAAAAAGGAGAGAGCGGCGGUUAACAGAAUGACUUUGGCCUGUGCUGUUUUAGCAUCGGCGGCCUUCACCUUCGCCCUCGCAUCCUUCUGAUCCUGGUCGGCCUCUGCAUUCAGCACGUCAGAGACCGAGGUAAAUAUUUGUCCCAGAGCCUCCCCAGAAAGCAGGCCGUGCUCUUUCAGCUGGCUCACAGUUCUAUCCACCACAGACUGGAGGUUCACCACGGAUGUAUUGGACUCACUUCUUUGCACCUUAACACAGAUAAAUGAAAUGAAUCAGUUGUUUCCAGCCCGCUUUUCUCUUCCAUCUGUGAUCGGUGCCAGGCGACAAACCUGAGCAGUGACCGUUGUGUUGGCUUUGUCGUGUUCGUUUUUCACAGUCACCACAACAGAUACUUUGUAAUUGUCGUUCUUAUCUCCGACAGGCAGGAAGACAGACUUCACCUCGUUUGAAUUACUGCAGCGUAGAUAUUGGCCUUAAAGACAACGGAGGCGGCUUAGAACAAGGGUUUUAUCAGCACAUACCCAAUGCUUGUGAAAAGGGGAAAGCACAAACUUUGAACAACCACAAUAAAAUGUCAACACAUCACCAUGA